UGUGCUCUUCGGGAAAGAAAAAUUUGGCGGGAAAAUAACCGAAUCGAUGAUCGAGUCGACCUGAGUUGACUCAGGGAUCGCCUCUGACUCCAUAUCCGCGCUGAAUAUUUCGUGGUCAGUUAGUUGUACGACACAAGUUGUUUCUGAGAAACGACAUGUCGGGUUUUCUUAGUGUGAAUGGGUAUUCUGGGUUUAUUGGAAAAGUAGCAUCAUAAACCGACCAGAAAGGAAAAGUAGCCUCAUUUCAUCACUCUUCAAUUUUAGGUUUAUUUAUUCGUAUUCGAUCAUAUAAUUUAAAGAUCAAAGGGAUAGGCACAUAAUCAAUCUGAAGAAUUGGACAACGAAGAUGCUCCUUUUCAUUUUCUAGAGACAUGGUUUCCAUUAUCAAGCCAAGGAAGUCUUUCAAAUAUUAUUUGUUACUUGUGAGAUUCCAAUUUGAUAGGCAUUCUUUGAAAUGUGAGAUAAAUGAUCUCCUUGGUGAAGUUAAAAUGCUUAAGAGCGUAAUGUGUCUGUUUGGCCUUACAUGCACACCACCUGUUUGAUGAAAGUUCCAAGUGACUGAAAAAAAGUGCAAGUUGUUUAACAGUUGUAGUAUAUACCAUUGGCUACCAUAUCAGUCAGAUCAUACAUUUAUUGAUUUUGUAUAUUGCUCCCUUAUCAGUCGUAGCUCUUCAACAUCUCUACAAGACCCUCAACCAACCGCCACAGCUGACGGGUUGGAGAUUGGAUGGUGGGGAUCCUUGCGAUCAAGACUGGAAUGGAGGGUCAAGCUUUGGCUCUGCUAUUACAUUACUGUACCUUAAAGGUCUGAAUCUGACUGGGUACAUCAGUCCUAAGAUCAUAUUAGAGAAUCUUCAAAUGGGCCAGGUCGGGUUCUAUUAAGGCCCACAGCCCGUCUGCGUUUGUAACAACCUGGAGAAGCGGCACGUGCGUAUGGGAAAUUGCAAUUCUCACUGGACUGUACUUGCAGAAUAACCGAUUCACUGGAUCAGUUUCUCACCUAGCUGAACUUCCACUAAUUGAUCUGAAUAUCGAAUGCAAUUAUUUCAGUGGUAUCAUCCCCAGUCAUUUUCAGUCCAUACCAAAUUUAUGGAUCGGGGGAAAUAGUCUUCAUCGUCCAGGGCACAACUAUCCAGUAUCCACCCCCCUCUGGCUCUCUGGAAACGCAGGCAAGUGUCAUUGAACAGAACAUCCACCCCCCUCCAGCAACUCGGUCAAGUGCCAUGGAGAAGAGCAACCCCUCUACCAAAUUAGGUGGACACAAGAAGAGGAGGCCCUGGAGGAAUAGGUUUUAAGUGGGGGCAGUUGGCCCGCCUAGUAUUCGCUAAUUAUGUUUUGUUUCAGGCAAGUAAAAUGUCGAAUUCAGAUAAUUUCUUCCGGAGACUUCCAAUUGUUAAAAUUCAAUAUUAAAGAGUAAACAAUCCAUCUUUUAGGGAGAAAUCCAUAAGCAACUAAUAAGAACUUUGAGUUCUACAAUAUGGUUUGAAAAUCAAGUUUUUUAUUUUUUUGGUCUGAAGUAUGAAAAUCAAGUUAAGCAUGUAAAAAUUUAUAUGGUUAAUUUAUGAAGGAAACUUCAAGUUUUCUUAAAUGGCAUUGUCGAAACUACAAGUUCUAUAUAUGUAUGACUGGUUGUUCAUUA
Molecule: long non-coding RNA, 1639 nt
Organism: Rosa chinensis
Lineage: Eukaryota; Viridiplantae; Streptophyta; Magnoliopsida; Rosales; Rosaceae
Exons: 5
Source: RefSeq, a predicted model, not a curated record